GGACUACAAGGGUUUCUAAUCCUGUUUGCUCCCCUAGCUUUCGCGCCUCAGCGUCAGGUCUAAACUAGAAAACCGCUUUCGCCACAGGUGUUCUUCCACAUAUCUACGCAUUUCACCGCUACUUGUGGAAUUCCGUUUCCUCCGUCUACCCUCUAGAAAGACAGUUUCAUUUGCUGCUCCGGGGUUGAGCCCCGGGAUUUCACAAUACGACUUAUCUCUCCGCCUACACGCCCUUUACGCCCAGUAAAUCCGAUUAAUGCUCGCACCCUCCGUAUUACCGCGGCUGCUGGCAC
Molecule: ribosomal RNA, 293 nt
Filed under: uncultured bacterium
Lineage: Bacteria
Description: partial 16S ribosomal RNA
Source: RNAcentral